Molecule: ribosomal RNA, 429 nt
Filed under: Pseudomonadota bacterium
Lineage: Bacteria; Pseudomonadati; Pseudomonadota
Description: Proteobacteria bacterium partial 16S ribosomal RNA
Rfam family: Bacterial small subunit ribosomal RNA
Source: RNAcentral
UGGGGUAUAUUGGACAAUGGGCGAAAGCCUGAUCCAGCCAUGCCGCGUGUGUGAAGAAGGUCUUCGGAUUGUAAAGCACUUUAAGUUGGGAGGAAGGGCAGUAAGCGAAUACCUUGCUGUUUUGACGUUACCGACAGAAUAAGCACCGGCUAACUCUGUGCCAGCAGCCGCGGUAAUACAGAGGGUGCACGCGUUAAUCGGAAUUACUGGGCGUAAAGAGCGCGUAGGUGGUUCGUUAAGUUGAAUGUGAAAGCCCCGGGCUCAACCUGGGAAACGCACCCAAAACUGGCGAGCUAGUGUAGGGCAGAGGGCGGUGGAAUUUCCUGUGUAGCGGUGAAAUGCGUAGAUAUAGGAAGGAACACCAGUGGCGACGGCGACCACCUGGGCUCAUACUGACACUGAGGUGCGAAAGCGUGGGGAGCAAACAGG